CAAAAAGAUAAAAACAUGGUUAAUGUUCUGCAUUUUGUUUCUGUUAUAAUUUUAUUUUUGUCCCUAAUCCUUCUUUCAAAAGUGAAUGCAGAUCCACUUAGAUGUGACACCGACGCCGAUUGCCCUAUAAUCCGUCACCUACUUUCAUACACAGGAUUAUGCAAUCCCUGCACGUUUAGUCAAGAAUAUACCUCCAGCCAUAUUUUUUGAACAAACUCAUAGCUGCCCAUACCAUAAGAUGUUGGAUAUCCUCCACAUAUAAUUUUAUAAGAUACGAAUGGAAACCCAUUCAUUUAAUUUAUGAGCCUUUUGUAGAAUGGACUAUGAGACUUGAAUGCAUUUUAAUUUUUUCAUAUUAUUAUUAUUAUUAUUAUUAUUUAUAUUUUAUUUUUUUUAAUUUUUUUAAACAAUAAUAAUAUUUUUGUAAGUGUAUUUUCUUUUAUUUGAACUGUUGAGAUUGAAACAAAAGCAAAAUAAAGAGAUUGGAAAGGACUUCUGAGAAAUUAGAUACG
This is a long non-coding RNA of Vicia villosa (hairy vetch), 512 nucleotides long. RefSeq lists it as uncharacterized. The record is from RefSeq and is a predicted model, not a curated record. Lineage: Eukaryota; Viridiplantae; Streptophyta; Magnoliopsida; Fabales; Fabaceae. The transcript is spliced from 3 exons.